RNAcentral lists this long non-coding RNA (521 nucleotides) under Vulpes vulpes (red fox). RNAcentral describes it as "lncRNA (ENSVVUG00000010927.1)". The record is from RNAcentral. Lineage: Eukaryota; Metazoa; Chordata; Mammalia; Carnivora; Canidae.
CUGCAAAGAUCCUAUUUCCAAAUAAGGUCACUUUGCAGUAAGUAAAGCAACAGUGAGCCUGCCGGGCAGACGGGGUCCUUGAGGAGACUGAGGAGCUGCAGAGAUAGAUCAAGGCAUAGGCACAUGGGGAGAGAAAACAGGCUGGGAUAACUCGUAAUUUCCCACCCAUAAUCCUAUUUGCCAGGCCCAGCUGGAAGCCCACAUCACCUGGAAAAAGCAGCCUACAGGUGUUGAUCCCUACUGCCAAGAAACCUUGGCCAUUCACUGGGAUCAACAGUGGCAAGAAGAAAACAACCGAGAAAAAGGGAAGAGGAAUUCCUUUACUUAUCGUAGGUAAAGUGUGCAUCCAUCCCCAAGAGGUGUCGGGGGAGGGUGGGAUGAGAUGGUCAACAGGAAUCUGAAAUGGGCCAGCUCCAUUCAUUCUCUGGCUCCCACAAGCAGUGAUUUCUGGUUCCAGCACAAUGGCAAGGCAGAGAGGCCACGAGGACUGGAGGUUAUCCAGGAGUACAGUCCAAGUGCAG